Molecule: ribosomal RNA, 433 nt
Filed under: uncultured bacterium
Lineage: Bacteria
Description: partial 16S ribosomal RNA
Rfam family: Bacterial small subunit ribosomal RNA
Source: RNAcentral
AACGAACGCUGGCGGCAUGCCUAACACAUGCAAGUCGAACGAGACCUCCGGGACUAGUGGCGCACGGGUGUGUAACGCGUGGGAAGCUGCCCUUAGGGUCGGAAUAACUCCCCGAAAGGGGUGCUAAUACCGGAUAAUGUCUUCUGACCAAAGAUUUAUCGCCCUUGGAUGGGCCCGCGUUGGAUUAGCUAGUUGGUAGGGUAAAAGCCUACCAAGGCGACGAUCCAUAGCUGGUAUGAGAGGAUGAUCAGCGACACUGGGACUAAGACGCGGCCGGGACUCCUACGGGAUGCAGGAGUGGGUGAUAUUGGAACAUGGGCGAAGGGCUGAAGCAGCAAUGCCGGGUGAGUGAUGAAGGCCUUAGGGUUGUAAAGCUCUUUUAACCGGGAUGAUAAUGACGGUACCGAGAGAAUAAGCCCCGGCUAACUCCGUG